RNAcentral lists this unclassified non-coding RNA (296 nucleotides) under plant metagenome. RNAcentral describes it as "partial contains small subunit ribosomal RNA, internal transcribed spacer 1, and 5.8S ribosomal RNA". The record is from RNAcentral.
UUUCCGUAGGUGAACCUGCGGAAGGAUCAUUAUUGAAUAAACUUGGUGUGUUGUAGCUGGCUUUUUGGAGCAUGUGCACAUACACCUUUGUUUCUUUCCACCUGUGCACCCUUUGUAGAUCUGGAUACCUGUCUGAUGAAACUCAGUUUGGGACUUGCUGAUUUCUUUGAACUUGGCUUCUCCUACAUUUCCGAUCUAUGUUUUCAUAUACCCCUUAGUAUGUAUAAGAAUGUUUGUAAUGGGCUUUAAUGCCUUUAAUAAUAAUACAACUUUCAACAACGGAUCUCUUGGCUCUC